CCUUAGAGUUUGAUCCUGGCUCAGGAUGAACGCUAGCUACAGGCUUAACACAUGCAAGUCGAGGGGCAGCGGGAUUGAAGCUUGCUUCAAUUGCCGGCGACCGGCGCACGGGUGAGUAACGCGUAUCCAACCUUCCGUACACUCAGGGAUAGCCUUUCGAAAGAAAGAUUAAUACCUGAUGGUAUGAUGAGAUUGCAUGAUAGCAUCAUUAAAGAUUUAUCGGUGUACGAUGGGGAUGCGUUCCAUUAGGUAGUAGGCGGGGUAACGGCCCACCUAGCCAACGAUGGAUAGGGGUUCUGAGAGGAAGGUCCCCCACAUUGGAACUGAGACACGGUCCAAACUCCUACGGGAGGCAGCAGUGAGGAAUAUUGGUCAAUGGACGAGAGUCUGAACCAGCCAAGUAGCGUGAAGGAUGAAGGUUCUAUGGAUUGUAAACUUCUUUUAUACGGGAAUAAACGGAUCCACGUGUGGAUUUUUGCAUGUACCGUAUGAAUAAGGAUCGGCUAACUCCGUGCCAGCAGCCGCGGUAAUACGGAGGAUCCGAGCGUUAUCCGGAUUUAUUGGGUUUAAAGGGAGCGUAGAUGGGUUGUUAAGUCAGUUGUGAAAGUUUGCGGCUCAACCGUAAAACUGCAAUUGAUACUGGCAGUCUUGAGUACAGUUGAGGUAGGCGGAAUUCGUGGUGUAGCGGUGAAAUGCUUAGAUAUCACGAAGAACUCCGAUUGCGAAGGCAGCUUACUAACCUGUAACUGACAUUGAUGCUCGAAAGUGUGGGUAUCAAACAGGAUUAGAUACCCUGGUAGUCCACACGGUAAACGAUGAAUACUCGCUGUAGGCGAUAUACAGUCUGCGGCCAAGCGAAAGCAUUAAGUAUUCCACCUGGGGAGUACGCCGGCAACGGUGAAACUCAAAGGAAUUGACG
RNAcentral lists this ribosomal RNA (919 nucleotides) under uncultured bacterium. Its description in RNAcentral is "bacterial SSU rRNA". It matches the Rfam family "Bacterial small subunit ribosomal RNA", at positions 1 to 915 of the family's 1533-position model. The record is from RNAcentral.